GGACACACACUGAGACUGAAACUGGCUACCACCGCUGCCGCUAGAGGGUACCAUGCACCGUUGCGGCCGUAUCAAAAUGGGGCAGCUUUAAUCAGUGCUUCACACCACACACACAGAGAGUCACAGACACAGCCAGCCAGGCCCUGGGAGCACAGCGCAGCGCAGGACGAGGAAGCAGGGGCACGUGAGACUGGCCAACUAACCGUCCAGUCGCCCAGAUCCGACGGCCCCCAGACACCAAAGCAGAGACACCAGCAUGGAUCAAGGAGUGCGUGGAUCACAGGCUGAGUGAGCUAUGCGUGUUUACUUCCUUACCUUGGCGGCCGGCCAGCACAAGGAACAGAAGCCGAUCAAUAAUGGACUGCGACUGAGCUGACGAGGCCAUCGACUCCAUUGCUUUGCUUUCUUCAUCACGAGGAAAGCUGCAGGUUGCAGCCGCAGUCCUGGCGCGCAGAGCCGUAUUGCCAAAUGCCAGCCGGCCAGCCUCUGCUGCAGAGAAAAAGAAAGGAGAAAAGGCAUCAGGAAUUACCAUGAUCCAUGAAGUGCCGGUAUCCUUUUCAUAUCCAUGAUAAAAGAGAUGGUAAUCGACCAGGGGAUGGCAGCAUGCAUCCAGACCGUGUUAGAUGCACCGAAGACUGAUACGAGCACAACGAAAUCAGAACAGUAUCAACGAGCCGCUGCAGCCUUGCACGCUCACUGACGAGUGACCAACCGAAUCGAGGAGGGAAACCAAGAUUGCCUUGCCUACAACACCAGCGGUACAGCACGGAAACAAAUGCCCCAGCACGGCUUACAGCUUUUGCUUAUUUAACCCUAACAGAGUCCGGCUAAUCAACUAAAGAAACUAGGACAUGACAGCAACAGAUCCGCGGCGGCGAUGAACGGAGAAAAGUUAACCUUGCUCAUUUACAACUUUCUACCUAGAAAAAGGGCCUGGUCUUGGCGAAAUAGGAAUGGAGGGUCGUUCGGGCACAUGGCCAUGGCAGAAGGGAAGCAAAACGGUGGGCUCGAGCGGGACUGCCGCCACCAGCGGA
This 1034-nucleotide long non-coding RNA is filed under the name Triticum aestivum (bread wheat). RNAcentral describes it as "long non-coding RNA (TAES_LNC010898)". The record is from RNAcentral. Lineage: Eukaryota; Viridiplantae; Streptophyta; Magnoliopsida; Poales; Poaceae.